GCGUGUGUGAAGAAGGCCUUCGGGUUGUAAAGCACUUUCGAUGGGGAAAAACAAGUUCGACCUAAUACGUCGGACCCUGAUGGUACCCAGAGAAGAAGCACCGGCUAACUCUGUGCCAGCAGCCGCGGUAAUACAGAGGGUGCAAGCGUUAAUCGGAAUUACUGGGCGUAAAGCGUGCGUAGGUGGUUUGUUAAGUCAGGCGUGAAAUCCCUGGGCUCAACCUGGGAACUGCGCUUGAUACUGGCAGACUAGAGUGUGGUAGAGGGUAGUGGAAUUCCGCAUGUAGCAGUGAAAUGCGU
This 299-nucleotide ribosomal RNA is filed under the name uncultured bacterium. RNAcentral's name for it is "partial 16S ribosomal RNA". It matches the Rfam family "Bacterial small subunit ribosomal RNA", at positions 399 to 691 of the family's 1533-position model. The record is from RNAcentral.